RNAcentral lists this ribosomal RNA (400 nucleotides) under uncultured bacterium. RNAcentral's name for it is "bacterial SSU rRNA". It matches the Rfam family "Bacterial small subunit ribosomal RNA", at positions 355 to 747 of the family's 1533-position model. The record is from RNAcentral.
UCGAGGAUCAUUCGCAAUGGGCGAAAGCCUGACGAUGCGACGCUGCGUGGAGGAUGACGGCCUUCGGGUUGUAAACUCCUGUCAUGAGGGAAAAACGGACCUGCGACAACAUCAAGGGAACGGGAUGGUACCUCAAGAGGAAGCCACGGCUAACUCUGUGCCAGCAGCCGCGGUAAUACAGAGGUGGCGAGCGUUGUUCGGAUUUACUGGGCGUAAAGGGCGCGUAGGCGGCCGCGUGUGUCGGGUGUGAAAUCCAUGGGCUCAACCCAUGAAGUGCGCCCGAAACUGCGCGGCUCGAGUGCGGGAGGGGAGAUCGGAAUGCAGGGUGUAGCGGUGAAAUGCGUUGAUAUCCUGCAGAACACCGGUGGCGAAGGCGGAUCUCUGGAACGCAACUGACGCU